Apodemus sylvaticus (European woodmouse) is the source of this 3724-nucleotide long non-coding RNA. RefSeq lists it as uncharacterized. The transcript has 3 exons. Lineage: Eukaryota; Metazoa; Chordata; Mammalia; Rodentia; Muridae. The record is from RefSeq and is a predicted model, not a curated record.
GCAAGUAUGGGUGGAAGGGAAGCAGUGACCCUGUCAGCAGCCUAGAAGAAGAAACCUAAGGGGACCAGACCUGAAUAGCUGUAGGAGCAUCUAGGAGGCUCAGCCACUGCUGGUGGGCUCUGAGGGAGGAGGAGAGCUGGCCCCUUAGUACUGGGUAGACCUUGACCCUCUUCCCCCCACUUUCCCAAUGCCAGCCUCUAGGCAGUCAGGGCUGGACCUAGACUUUGGAGGACUUGGAGUUCCUCCACAGCCAGCUCAGACCAGAGUCAUGCUGACAACUCACAGCAAAAUUCAGACAGUCUGCAAGGCAGCCCUCCUACUGUGUUCAGCCUGGAUCACCCUGGCACCAGAAAACCUGCUUACUUUCAGCAAAGGAGCCUUUGAUCUCCUCCACCUUGGAUGACUGACAAUUCCAGAUUGAAGCCAUCCCUAGUGGGAAAUACAGAAACGGGACUGGAAACCCAACAGCCAUCUAGGCAGCCACAACCUCCUGUUUGCCUGCCUGAGCACCUCUCAGGACACACUAUGGAGGACCACCCUGCUUGCCCAAGCCUGGAGGCUCAACAGCCAGCAGGCCACUUGGAGCAGUUUGGAAAAAGGGAUGGAGCUGGGAGCUUCAGAACUGAUGGGGGCUGCAAAAGAGAGUGGGGUUCAACCCCAGCAGAAUCAUUCCAGUCUCUGCCAAGGUUUCUGAUCCUGGAGCCUGAACCACAGCAGUAGAAACUAAAUGUCUCCCAGUAUGGACACUGAACGCUGGUCCUGGGACAAUGUCCUCCAUUGAAGCAGAGAUCAAAGAAGCUGUGAGGAAAGAAGGAGGCAGAGAGCAGAGCUGUGGCAGGCCAUUCAGAAAGGGGAUCUUGAAGAGAACCCCUGGCUCAGGAGGAAGGAAGGCGUGAAACUGGAGAUAACCUGAGAACUUGCUUGUGUCUCAGUCUUCAGAGAACUGCAGGAAAGAUCUGGACACCCAGAUGGGUGAUGUAUCUACAGUACCUCCCGAUGCAUACACCCUGACUUCAAUUGUUGGAGUAUCAGCAUAGAAGCUUUUUCUAUGUUUAUUAAUGAAUUUGUUCAUUUAUUCAUCCAUCCAAUUUUCAUUCAUUCAUUCAAUCAUUCAUUCAUUCAUUCUUUGGUAGUUUAAAGGAAGGUGGUCCUCCUUUUUGAAUAUUUGGUUCCUAGUUUGUAGAACUCUUUUCCAAAGAUAAGAAGAUGUGUUCUUUUUGGAAGUAAGUGGCACCAAGUGUUCCUCUGUCUGUAUCUCAUUCUGUCUCUGUCUCUGUCUCUAUCUCUGUCUCUGUCUCUCUCUCUCUCUCCUGUUCAGCCUUGUGCUGGGGACAAGAUGUGAGUAAUCUCAGCCAUUUCUUCUCUCUGCCAUCAUGGACUCUAACUGGUUAAUUUCAUGCAACUCUGGUCUCUUUCUGGCUCUUUCUCCUCCUACCUCUCAACCCUCCUUGAGUUCUUUAGCCAACUUUUCUCCACACAUCUCACUCAGCUUCUCUCAUGUGGUGACAGGAAAACCUGAUUUCAUGUAUCUAGCCAGCCUUGGGCACACAGGUGAGAGUCAGUGGAUCUCUGUGCUCUGGAGCCUUGGUCAUCCAUUGCAUGGGACUGUCUCCAGACACAAGCAUCUUUCUGCAGACCAUACAACUUCAUUCUUCUGUGAAGAACAGUCAUUCUUGCACAUCUGAUCCCCACACCCACUUCAUUCAGCCUUUCACCAGUGGAAAUGCUACUUUCAUUGGUUGUGUCACUCAGCUUUUAGAAACAGGGCCACAAGUGAGGUCAUUGUUUAGGUAUCUCUGGGGUUUGUUCUGGACUCUAAGAACACUGGUCACGCACAUGUCACUCAGCCACGCUAGGAGGCAGAACACCCAGAGAGGGAAAACCAAACUCCAACCAACAACAACACCAAAUCAAACUAGGUAAAUCCAUAGAAACCAGAGCAGCAUUAUUUGAGUUCUAACAUUAAAACCUCUAAAUGUGCAUAGAGAAAUGCAACAGGGUCAUGCCAGGCAUACAGUUAACACUGUAAAGACACAUAGGAAAGAGUUACAGUUUUCUGAGGAGAGUCCUUGAGAGGAUCCUGUAGUGCUACAGUAGGAGAAGCUACAACCCGCAAACCAGACACAUUGAAGUUCACAUUUUCAGUUAGAGCUGUUUGGGCAAAAGAGUAUAUUGUAUGACACAGACUGACACACCUCAACUGUCACAGAGAGAUGUUUUCAUGCAUUUGUUUGUUUUAAGUGUGUGUGUGUGUGUGUGUGUGUGUGUGUGUGUUGCAGUGUUUCAAGGGCAGAGGGAGGAUAAGGAGGGAUAGGAAGGUGAGCAGGAUUGGGCUGUAAAUGAACAAUUCACAAAGAAUCAAUGGAAAGUUUAAAAACUUAAGGAGGAUAUACUUAUUAAAAUCUGUGUAGAUGAAACUAUGCAUGGAAGAGCAGUCAGAGGACAAACUGGCUCCGACUUUGAAGGAGAGGUGGGAUGUGUGCAUGGCCUGCACCUAAGGCAAGGGCAGGUUUUCAGUCUGGCAAGUCACUUGAGACCUCAGACCCACAACCCCUGGAAGACACAAAUUGGCAGCUGGACCAAGUCUCAGAUGCAGCUGUGUUCUUUCCUGUGUCAGGAAAUUUCCUUUUCCGUGAAAAGCAUUUCUUUCAUAUUUUUUUGACAUGUUGUCAGUUUUUAAGUAAAGUACAGGUUUUUUUGUUUUGUUUUGUUUUGUUUCUUGGUUUUUGCUUUUUUUGAGACAGGGUUUCUCUGUAUAUCCCUGGCUGUCCUGGAACUUACUCUGUAAACAAGGCUGGCCUAGAACACAGAAUCUGCCAGCCUUUGCCUCCCAAGUGCUAGGAUUAAAUGCGUGCUCCACCAUCGCCUGGCCAAUUUGUUAACAGUAUCAUUUGCAAAGUUCUAUGUUAGAUUUUUAUUUCUCCGGGUUUUUUGUUUUAUUUUUGUUUUUUUAAUGCUGUAUGGUUUCAUGAUGGACCUGGACAGUGUAGCCAAUAUCUGGUAACUUUUAUACCAUUUUGUGCAGUUUUGAGAUUGUCCUUUAGUAAGAACACAUUUCCACUCUUUUCUCUUUCCAAACUUCCCAUGAGCACAGCUCACUCCAUAGCCUUCCUCAAUAUCCUCUCACAGACACAUAACAGGCUGAGACCAUAACUCUACUGAUGGCCUAGGGAGCAAAUUCCAAAAGGAAUCCGACCAUUGAAUUUUUUUUUCCUUCCUUUAGAAACAGCAGGAGGACAAGACUCCAGGGAAAGAAAGUGAAACCCUGGUGUUCUAUGGAAUCACCUGCAUACUGGAUGUGAGAACAAAGUGGGUUCUCCCAGAAUCCCACCUGAGCCUGCUGGGCAGAGUGUGAUACUGGUUACAAAACAAUCAGAAACAAAACGACAGAAAAGAAACCGCUUAUGGUCUUUGUAAUCUCAGUCGAGUUUCCUUAGGAACUUCGCAAGUUGGACAUCUAACAGACUUAAAAAGUAACUUUACCGAUGGUCAACUGUACGAUAUCCACGAAUGGCAAGCAAUCGAAGAAUUGAUCUUUCAUUCUUCAGAGACACCUGGCACACUAAGACUAAAGAAACAAAUGAAAAAUCUAGCGAUCUGGUCACAUCCCUUGAGUCCUUGCAAUGGGAGCAGUGUAUUCACCUGCCUGUCCGAUUUUGAAUAUGGUUCUAACAGGAAAGUGCAAUCAAGUUUACAAAUCACAGUAAAGAAAACGCAUAUGAUG